Molecule: long non-coding RNA, 1592 nt
Filed under: Macaca fascicularis (crab-eating macaque)
Lineage: Eukaryota; Metazoa; Chordata; Mammalia; Primates; Cercopithecidae
Description: lncRNA (ENSMFAG00000055959.1)
Source: RNAcentral
CCCCUUCCCCGGCCGGGGCGGCUGGAGAGCCCGGAGUCGCUGGGUGCGCGGGGCUGCCUGGCAGCGCCUCGCCACGGGCUCUGCCAGCAGACAGCCUUGGCACACAGGCACAAGAGCUGGAGCCCAGAGAUGAGAGUGCCCACAGGAGGUAACCGUCCUGCAGGUCGUCGCUGUCUUCUGCUCACUUCUGCCUUGCCUGCUUUGAGCUCUUUUCUUCAGCCUUGGCCUGGUCUGAUCAAGGACUGCCACUCUGGCCGUGCAACCUUGGACAAGCUGCUUCAUCUCUUUGAGCUUAGAUAUUGCAGGGAAAAUGCUUUAGCAGUUUAUGCUCCAUAAAUGCAAACACCUUUGCUGAACAUAAAAUGCUGAAGCUGGCUGGGUGCAUUGGCUCACACCUGUAAUCCCAGCACUUUGGGAGGCCGAGGCGGGCAGAUCACCUGAGGUCAGGAGUUCGAGACCAACCUGGCUAACAUGGUGAAACCCCAGCUCUACUAAAAAUACAAAAAAAAAUUAGCCAAGGUGGGGACGCUGUCACUGAAAUCCUAAUAACUGACAGAAUUCUAGUCACAGGUCUCGGGAGAAUUUCACUGAGCUUCUGAUGAAGAGAAGGGGUCAUUGCAGGAAUUUCUGAAUGGCUUCAUGUCCUGUUCAGCCUGCCUCCCCCCAGGAAGUAGCCCUGAAAUAGCUUUCCCCAUUGCAGACCCUGAAUCGAGGGUACACAUGAAGCCCCAACCUCUUCAGCAGAACUUCAUCAGCACGUUUUUCUGAAGAGAGGGAAAUUAACCAAGGCACAGAGAGGCCGGUGACCCCAGCCUGAGAUCCAUCUCUGCUUUGUCAGCUGCUUCUCACAUUUCCACAGCAGCCUCUGAGGUCAGUGGAUCCACUCUGAUUUUGCAGCUGAAGAGACUGUGGCUAAGAUGAGAAAGUGACUCUCCCAAGCCACACGGCCAGGAAGCCCUAGUCUCUUAGCAGUUUCCACCCCAGGCCUGAGACUGUGUUCCCUCCCCUUUGAUGGUUAUUUUCUACCUGCUAUAGCCUGAGAGGGCCCAGGCAGCCCAAGCCCUUGCAGGUGGAUAGGCCCAGCCGCAGACUGGGUCCUUGGGUGGUUUUGGGUGGAACCUCACAUCCAAAGAGGCGUGCUGUCUUCCCACGGGCUUCCACCAGACCCUCCAUUCACUAAGUCACUCUCAGUUCCCCAAUCAUGCUGCGUCCUUUCCUGCCUGUGGCUCUGCACUGGCUAUUCCCUUUGCUGGGAACGUCCUUCUUUCCCUUCUCCACCUGCCUGUUUCCUACCCACCGCUCAAAAUUCUGCAUGAAGGCUACCUCCUGCAGGAGGCCUUCCCUCACCUAGGCAGGUAGAACCCAUCAGUCUCUCAGGCACACGUCCAUAGUAAGAGUAGGCUUGGGAGGCUGAGGUUCCCAGCACAUAGCGGGUGCCCAUUACAUGUUGGAAUAAGUAAAUAACCAAUGAUUAUGGUAGAACUCACUAAUCUUCUUGGGCCAGAUGGGGUAGCUCAUGCCUGUAAUCCCAUCAUUUUGGGAGGCUGAGGUGGGAGGAUCACUUGAGGCCAGUAGUUUGAGACCAGCCUGGG